RNAcentral lists this ribosomal RNA (478 nucleotides) under uncultured bacterium. RNAcentral describes it as "partial 16S ribosomal RNA". It matches the Rfam family "Bacterial small subunit ribosomal RNA", at positions 28 to 523 of the family's 1533-position model. The record is from RNAcentral.
GACGAACGCUGGCGGCGUGCUUAACACAUGCAAGUCGAACGGUAAGGCCCUUCGGGGUACACGAGUGGCGAACGGGUGAGUAACACGUGGGUGAUCUGCCCUGCACUUCGGGAUAAGCCUGGGAAACUGGGUCUAAUACCGGAUAGGACCACUGCCUGCAUGGGUGGUGGUGGAAAGCUUUUGCGGUGUGGGAUGGGCCCGCGGCCUAUCAGCUUGUUGGUGGGGUGAUGGCCUACCAAGGCGACGACGGGUGGCCGGCCUGGGAGGGUGACCGGCCACACUGGGACUGGGAUACGGCUCAGACUCCUACGGGAGGCAGCAGUGGGGAAUAUUGCACAAUGGGCGCAAGCCUGAUGCAGCGACGCCGCGUGAGGGAUGACGGCCUUCGGGUUGUAAACCUCUUUCAGCACCGACGAAGCGCAAGUGACGGUAGGUGCAGAAGAAGGACCGGCCAACUACGUGCCAGCCGCCGCCGUAA